Molecule: long non-coding RNA, 1011 nt
Organism: Phymastichus coffea
Lineage: Eukaryota; Metazoa; Arthropoda; Insecta; Hymenoptera; Eulophidae
Exons: 4
Source: RefSeq, a predicted model, not a curated record
GCAAGAAUGUCAAUUACUACAACUAAAAAUCAUAAACUUAGAAAAGGAAUGUUUAAUAUUGAAAAAUGCACAGAAUAAAUUAAAGAAUAACAUAGAUAUAUUGAAUGCAUGCUUGGAGACUUACAAAAUAUUAAAUGAGCGCUUACAAAUAAAAAAAUUAUUGCUAUAAACAGAGAUUGCAAGAAGAGAAUGGCAAAGAAAUAAUUGAAAAUGAAGUAAAUGAACAAAAACUGGAUCCAACAGUACAGAUCGACAUGAAUGCCAUCUGCGCUGCAUCAACUCCAGAAAAAGUAGUCAACGUAGAUGUGCCAAACCUGUCAUCGGUCCAUGGUGAAUCUUUUGAAUUAUUUGACGAAUCUCAGGAUCUUUGAGCUAUAGAAUGUGACGACGUGAAGGCAAACAAUACAUCAAACUCUGGGGAAAGCUUUUUAUGGACUCUGAAAAAGAGUUGUCACUAUCGUUAAUAAAAAAAAUCAAAUAAAAGAAGGUUUAGUAAAGCUUCUGAUGACGAUCUGACUUGCGACUCUGGAAUAGAGGAUCGUACUAUUCCUAAGACGAAAUUAUCUAAUCGAGAAAUUGUAAUACUAUCACGUAAUCUUUUCAAAAAAGAAAAGAAUAAGAUAGACGUUGGUUCAGAGCAGAUGAUCAAUCUGGAAUAGGUGUUGAUAAUACUCUUGUUGAUUCAGAAGCAUCCAAUGAAAUGAAUUUUUUUUCAAAUUUUCGUAAAAAAGAAAGUGUAUCUAAAGAAGGUAUAACAAUAACAUACAUAUGGUUAAAUAAUGAUUUUUAAAUUCUCUAUACGAAGAAUGGAAGGAUUAUAUAAAGACGCUAGUAAAUUUAUCAAACAAAUUUUGAGAUCUAUGCAUAGAAACGAAAAUGGUUUCUAUGAAGAGGCACUCAGUAGAAGAUGUAUUAAACUGGUACCGCCUUCUUACACGCCGAAUGGCAAAAAUCGACGAAUUCCGUAGACCCAUAUGGAACAGCUAACAAUAACUAAUACAAAAGAUAACG